This 313-nucleotide ribosomal RNA is filed under the name uncultured Arcobacter sp. RNAcentral's name for it is "bacterial SSU rRNA". It matches the Rfam family "Bacterial small subunit ribosomal RNA", at positions 29 to 334 of the family's 1533-position model. Lineage: Bacteria; Pseudomonadati; Campylobacterota; Epsilonproteobacteria; Campylobacterales; Arcobacteraceae. The record is from RNAcentral.
AGUGAACGCUGGCGGCGUGCUUAACACAUGCAAGUCGAACGAGAACGGGUUAUAGCUUGCUAUAACUGUCAGCUAAGUGGCGCACGGGUGAGUAAUAUAUAGUUAACCUGCCCUAGAGAGGGGGAUAACAUUUGGAAACGAAUGCUAACACCCCAUAUGCCUUUAACACAAAAGUGUGCAAGGGAAAUAUUUAUAGCUCUAGGAUGGGACUGUACGGUAUCAGAUAGUUGGUGAGGUAAUGGCUCACCAAGUCAAUGACGCCUAACUGGUUUGAGAGGAUGAUCAGUCACACUGGAACUGAGACACGGUCCAG